Bombina bombina (fire-bellied toad) is the source of this 512-nucleotide long non-coding RNA. RefSeq lists it as uncharacterized. The record is from RefSeq and is a predicted model, not a curated record. The transcript is spliced from 2 exons. Lineage: Eukaryota; Metazoa; Chordata; Amphibia; Anura; Bombinatoridae.
GAGGAGGCAAAUUUGAUCACAGAAAAGGAAACACAUCAGCAUGUGAGAAAAAGAUAAAGUAUAAAACUGCAGAAAAAGAUUAAAGUAUAAGGAGCAUAAAGAGAUGUGUCAGAGAGCAUCACAGCAAGUAUUCAUGGUGAACUUUAAAGAACACAGAACACUGGCUAAAGAAAGUAAUUCUAUAAGUGAUGAUCAAUACAUUACGGCCCGGGUUGCUAUAGCAUAAUAGAGCAUUGUGGAUGUAUAUUAUUUGGUUGAGUUUUCAAUUUAAAGAAAAUAAUAUUAAAGCAAGUUGUACAUUACUAGUAUCUCUAGAAAAAAGUUACAUAUGAAUGUACUUUUUACCGAUUGUUAAAUUCCCAAUAUAUGUGUUCUGUACCACAAGCUCACCAGUUGUAAAAUGCUAGUAUCUCUAGAAAAGCUUAUAUCUUUAUGUACUUUUGAUCACUGGUAAAUAUGUGUUCAGUAGCUCAAAAUUAUAUCUCUAUAAAUCAUGUUUUUGACACAUAAAA